Molecule: long non-coding RNA, 305 nt
Organism: Mustela erminea (ermine)
Lineage: Eukaryota; Metazoa; Chordata; Mammalia; Carnivora; Mustelidae
Exons: 3
Source: RefSeq, a predicted model, not a curated record
CCCUGCUUUACCUGACCCCGGCGACCUUGAUCGGGAAAACUUCUACUGAGAUUCUUUUCCCCAGACGUGGACUUAGCAGAUGAGGGCGUUGGCCCAUGACCAUGCUGCUACCCAGCCUUCGUCCUGAGAUUCGUCCCCGUCUGUGGAUGUGAGGACUCAGACUCCUCUCGUCUGUGCUCUGCCAGGGACCUUUGUCACUGUAGCGGGAGAACGGUGAGAAAGCGUCCCGCUUUGCAUGGGGGCUCCCACUGCACAUCUGGCACCCACCUCACAGGUGAACCUUCCCGCUCCUAAAUGAUGACUGG